Oncorhynchus tshawytscha (Chinook salmon) is the source of this 405-nucleotide long non-coding RNA. NCBI's taxonomy places the organism in Eukaryota, Metazoa, Chordata, Actinopteri, Salmoniformes, Salmonidae. The record is from Ensembl.
GUUAGAGUGUAGAGGCGGCAGGGUAGCCUAGUGGUUAGAGUGUAGGGGCGGCAGGGUAGCCUAGUGGUUAGAGUGUAGAGGCGGCAGGAUAGCCUAGUGGUUAGAGUGUAGAGGCGGCAGGGUAGCCUAGUGGUUAGAGUGUAGAGGCGGCAGGGUAGCCUAGUGGUUAGAGUGUAGAGGCGGCAGCCUAGUGGUUAGAGUGUAGAGGCGGCAGGGUAGCCUAGUGGUUAGAGUGUAGAGGCGGCAGGUUAGCCUAGUGGUUAGAGUGUAGAGGCAGCAGGGUAGUCUAGUGGUUAGAGUGUAGAGGGGGCAGGGUAGCCUAGUGGUUAGAGUGUAGAGGGGGCAGGGUAGCCUAGUGGUUAGAGUGUAGAGGCGGCAGGUAGCCUAGUGGUUAGAGUGUAGAGG